This 386-nucleotide ribosomal RNA is filed under the name Imbricatea sp. Its description in RNAcentral is "partial small subunit ribosomal RNA". It matches the Rfam family "Eukaryotic small subunit ribosomal RNA", at positions 582 to 975 of the family's 1831-position model. Lineage: Eukaryota; Cercozoa; Imbricatea. The record is from RNAcentral.
AUUCCAGCUCCAGUAGCGUAUACUAAUGUUGCUGCAGUUAAAAAGCUCGUAGUUGGAUUUCUGAUUGAUAUUUUUGGUCCGGUACCUUCGGGUACAUGAGUAUCAUUUUAUAUCUGUCAUCCUAUCAGGGUUUCUUGGUUUCGGCCUAGGAGUUCUGGUUCAUUUACUUUGAAAAAAUUAGAGUGUUUAAAGCAAGCUUGCGCGAUGAAUACAUUAGCAUGGAAUAAUAAUAUAGGACUACGGGUUCUAUUUUGUUGGUUUCUAGACCUGAAGUAAUGAUUGAUAGGGAUAGUUGGGGGUGCUAGUAUUGGGAGGCCAGAGGUGAAAUUCUUUGAUUCUCUCAAGACUAACUUAUGCGAAAGCAUUCACCAAGGAUGUCUUCAUCG